RNAcentral lists this transfer RNA (86 nucleotides) under Candidatus Shapirobacteria bacterium CG09_land_8_20_14_0_10_47_13. RNAcentral's name for it is "tRNA-Tyr". It matches the Rfam family "tRNA". From Rfam's summary of the family: Transfer RNA (tRNA) molecules are approximately 80 nucleotides in length. Their secondary structure includes four short double-helical elements and three loops (D, anti-codon, and T loops). The record is from RNAcentral. Lineage: Bacteria; Candidatus Shapironibacteriota.
GCCAAGGUAGCGAAGUGGACAAACGCACCUCUCUGUAAAAGAGGAGCCGCAAGGCUUCCCAGGUCCGAAUCCUGGCCUUGGCACCC